AUUAGAGUUUGAUUAUGGCUCAGGAUGAAGUGGCGGCAUGCCUAAGACAUGCAAGUCGAACGAGGUGGCCCAAAGAAGAUUGAGUGCUUGCACAAGAUUGGACUUGGAUUACCACCUAGUGGCGGACGGGUGAGUAACACGUAGGUGACCUGCCUUUGAGUUUGGGAUAACUAUUAGAAAUGAUAGCUAAUACCGAAUUAAAUGCAGAUUCGUUUCUGUAUUAAAAGGAGCCUUUAAAGCUUCGCUUAAAGAUGGGCCUGCGGCGUAUUAGCUAGUUGGUGAGGUAAUGGCUUACCAAGGCGACGAUGCGUAGCCGAACUGAGAGGUUGAUCGGCCACAUUGGGACUGAGACACGGCCCAAACUCCUACGGGAGACAGCAGUUAGGAAUAUUCGUCAAUGGGGGAAACCCUGAACGAGCAAUGCCGCGUGAACGAUGAAGGCCCUAUGGGUUGUAAAGUUCUGUUGCAUGGGACGAACGAUUAGGAUAGGAAAUGAUCUUAAUGUGACGGUACCAUGCCAGAAAGCUCCGGCUAACUACGUGCCAGCAGCCGCGGUAAUACGUAGGGAGCAAGCGUUAUCCGGAUUUAUUGGGCGUAAAGGGUGCGUAGGCGGUUUGUUAAGUAUGAGAUUAAAGCCCGAGGCUUAACCUCGGUUCGUUUCAUAAACUGGCAGGCUUGAGUGUGGCAGAGGUAAACGGAAUUUCUAGUGUAGCGGUUAAAUGCGUAGAUAUUAGAAGGAACACCAGUGGCGAAGGCGGUUUACUGGGCCAUCAACUGACGCUGAGGCACGAAAGCCUGGGGAGCAAAUAGGAUUAGAUACCCUAGUAGUCCACGCCGUAAACGAUGAGUACUAAGUGUUGGGGCAACUCAGUUGCUGAAGUUUAACACAUUUAAGUACUCCGCCUGAAUAGUACGGUCGCAAGGCUGAAAACUCAAAGGAAAUUGACGGGGCACCCCGCACAAGCAGUGGAGCAUGCUGUUUAAUUUCGAAGAUACGCGAAGAACCUUACCAGGGCUUGACAUCCCACUGACCGCUUUAGAAAUAAGGCUUUUCCCUUCGGGGACAGUGGUGACAGGUGGUGCAUGGUUGUCGUCAGCUCGUGUCGUGAGAUGUUCGGUUAAGUCCGAUAACGAGCGCAACCCUUUUCUCUAAUUGCUAACAUUCAGUUGAGAACCUUAGAGAUACUGCCGGUGACAAACCGGAGGAAGGUGGGGAUGACGUCAAAUCAUCAUGCCCCUUACGUCCUGGGCUACAGGCGUGCUAUAAUGGCAGAUAUAAAAAGUCGCAAAACCGUGAGGUGGAGCUAAUCUGUAAAGUCUGUCUCAGUUCGGAUUGAAGUCUGCAACUCGACUUCAUGAAGCUAGAAUUGCUAGUAAUCGUGGAUCAGAAUGCCACGGUGAAUACGUUCCCGGGUGUUGUACACACCGCGGAGUCACGCCAUGGGAGUCUGUAAUAUCUAAAAAUGGUAGCCUAACCGUUUACGGAGGGAUCCAUCUAAGGUAGGACAGUGACUGGGGUGAAGUCGUAACAAGGUAUCACUACCUAGCUGGGAUGGAUCACCUCCUUUCUGAAU
Molecule: ribosomal RNA, 1574 nt
Filed under: uncultured bacterium
Lineage: Bacteria
Description: bacterial SSU rRNA
Rfam family: Bacterial small subunit ribosomal RNA
Source: RNAcentral